GAUGAACGCUGGCGGCGUGCCUAAUACAUGCAAGUCGAGCGAACGGACGAGAAGCUUGCUUCUCUGAUGUUAGCGGCGGACGGGUGAGUAACACGUGGAUAACCUACCUAUAAGACUGGGAUAACUUCGGGAAACCGGAGCUAAUACCGGAUAAUAUUUUGAACCGCAUGGUUCAAAAGUGAAAGACGGUCUUGCUGUCACUUAUAGAUGGAUCCGCGCUGCAUUAGCUAGUUGGUAAGGUAACGGCUUACCAAGGCAACGAUGCAUAGCCGACCUGAGAGGGUGAUCGGCCACACUGGAACUGAGACACGGUCGAGACUCCUACGGGAGGCAGCAGUAGGGAAUCUUCCGCAAUGGGCGAAAGCCUGACGGAGCAACGCCGCGUGAGUGAUGAAGGUCUUCGGAUCGUAAAACUCUGUUAUUAGGGAAGAACAUAUGUGUAAGUAACUGUGCACAUCUUGACGGUACCUAAUCAGAAAGCCACGGCUAACUACGUG
Molecule: ribosomal RNA, 497 nt
Filed under: uncultured bacterium
Lineage: Bacteria
Description: partial 16S ribosomal RNA
Rfam family: Bacterial small subunit ribosomal RNA
Source: RNAcentral